This is a long non-coding RNA of Acinonyx jubatus (cheetah), 5149 nucleotides long. RefSeq lists it as uncharacterized. The record is from RefSeq and is a predicted model, not a curated record. The transcript is spliced from 2 exons. Lineage: Eukaryota; Metazoa; Chordata; Mammalia; Carnivora; Felidae.
UGGGUUGUGAUGGAGGAAGAGGUUUGAGGGUGAGGACAUGAGGGUCUGAGGACGGAGAGCAUGGUCUGAGGGAGGAGGAGCAGUUUGAGGAGGGCCUCCUUGGGACAGAGGGAAGAGAGGAGUGCUUGGGACCAAGCAGCGACUGAGGGAAGGGAAGAGAAGGGAGGCCUGGAGUCAGCCCCGCCCUGCAGCUGUCUAAUUUCCCAGAAUCUUCUACUGCUCAGGAAAGUCCCAGCUCCCACAGCCGCCUCCCUCCAGUGUCGGGAAUGGAGGAUGCGGAACCAGGACGGCUGCCCCCUCCUUUCCCCCCUGGCUCCCAGCACCCCAGGCUGGGAGGACUAGGGUCUCCCCUCUCUGCGCUUGAGCUCCGGAGGUCCCCUGCCGGCAGGGGGCAGCCCCUGGAUGAGUCCCAGAAAGUUCCCAGAGAGAGCCCGGAAGUCCUGCAUGGUGUCUAACCACUUUCCCUCACGCAGGCUGCCUUUUGUAUCUGUGCAAAUCUUUUCUUCCCUCCCACUGCUCCUUCCCUUCUACCCCUACCCCCAGGGAAGGAAGGGCUGAGCCCGUCCAAGGUCCCGAGAAGGAAACAAAGGCCUAGCUGGAAGGCUGUGGGCCUUGGGGCACUUUCUUGCUCUUGGGGGCCUUCCAAGAGGGGAGGAUAGUGCUUGUUAGAUACUAGAUUCCCAUUGGAUUAAUUCCUGGGCCUUUUUCUGUCCCAAGUUUUGCUCCCAACUGAGGCCUGAGCUUCUGUUUUCAUCAGCUGUGUGGCUUCCAGGCCAUUACUGAACUUCGUGGAGCCUCAACUUCCCCACCUAUCAGACAGACUAAAUCGAGACCCUAAUGCUUCCGUCCUCUAGGGCCCGAUGGAUAGGAAGUGUUAAAGGCAGUGUGGCUGCAAUUAUUAUGAUCCCUAUUAUAACCACAGGAACAACGGUGAUAAUUAUUCCUAUCCAGGAACCUAACGUUUCAACAGCUGGGCCCAUUUCAUUGAGGAAAUUGGGACCCAACAUGCUGGGCCUGGAAGAUACGGGUUUGAGGCCGGGUUCUGCCAUGUGUCGGCUGUGUGUGACUUUGGAUAGGUGGCUUUCCCUCUCUGUGCCUUUGUUGGUGACUUUACUGUUGGGGAUCAUAACAGCUCCUGCCUCACAGGGUUGCAGAGCAGAUUGAGACCACGUGUACAGAAGGAAUAACUGAAUGAAUGAAUGAACGGUGUCCCUUCUUGCCUCCAUGUUGCCUGCCUUAACUCAUCGGGCCAGGCCUUCCCUGUAACCCUCUCCGCCCAGAGAUAAAGCAGGAUGGGCCCAUUCGCCGUGGGCUGAACUCCCAUGAAGAACUGGCCCAUGUAAUCCUCUUGACAUCUCGUGAGGAAAUCCAGCUGAAACUCCCAUUUUACAGAGACACAACAGAGGAGCGGAGUCCCUGCUCAGGGUCAUCAAGAUUUUAUGCCAGGUCUCUGUGUCCCCCGCAGCCCGGCUGCUGGGGCAAUCGGUCCCCGAGACCACAGGCCUUCCCUCUCCUGUCUAACUCCAGACCCCUAUCCCCUAAGAAGGGAAUGGCUCAGGAGGGGAAAACUCAGGCACAAAGAGGCAAAGUCACAGCCAGAGAUUAGCAGGUCUACAGUCUGUCUGCAGGCUCCAGGCACAGGGAGGGUCGAGCUGAUGGAGGGAAGGUCGCGUCGCAGCAGGAAGGUAUAGAUUUAGAUUGAAGAGAGGGUUCCGGGAAAGCGAGCAGAUUGCACAGACAGAGGAGAACAGACCUGAGCCUGGAGCUGGGGGGCCCUGCCCAAGGUCACACAGCUUUGGGCUCUGAUUCCACCCUGGGUUUGCAGACUGCCCUGCUCCCAGAGGCUGCUCUUCCCCCCACCCCCCAGGAGUGAAUACAGGCCAGCUUCCUGCAGCAUGGCCUGUACCUCCUGGUUCCUCCCCACCCUGGGGCCUUGGCAGCUUCUGGAACCCCUGGCACCAAGCAGGAUCGGCCCUUCUGGGGCCUUGGCCAAGACUUGAUCUUCCCCUUUCUCCCUCUUGCUGGGUCUGCACGCACGACGCUGAGUCAGAGGAUUGCAACAUCCUCUCCUCGGGCUUUGAGACCAGACAUCCUCUGCCCCGUGCACUGCCUCUAUCGGGCCAAGGUGAUGCGAUGGGAGACAUCUAUGGAUAUUGGCAUCUGCCCUGGGUGGGGUUGGGCAACCUCAGAGGGAUCCCAGUGAGGCAAUGGUAGCCAGACGGUAGGCGGCGUAAUGCUGGGCCUCAAUGUCCUCAUCCGUAAGUGGGGCUCCCUGUCCAAUUGGCUUCGAAUCCCAGCUCUGCCACUUACCAGCUGCGUGACCUUGGGCAAGUGACUUAUCCCCUCUGAGCCUCAGUUUCCUCAUCUAUAAAAUGGGGAUGAAACCCAGCGAACGCCUCAUGGGGUGGUUGUGAGGUUCAAAGGAGUUAGCAAUGCGUCGACCCAAGCUGGCGAGGAGUCAGUUCUCGGGAAAUGGAAGGUAGUAUUUUUCAACGAUUGCUAUUAUUAAUACAGAUAUGGGAGUGGCAGAGGCUGCUUGGAUCUCUCAAGAAAAGACAUGCGGCGUGGCUGCCCCGCGUGCAGAUGGCUGGCUGAGAGCCUCCCACAGUUUGUUCCUUCAAGUUCUGCCUCAGCUCGCCAGUCGGGGACACCAGCUCCUGGCAGCGUCUGGCCAUUGACUGAGCCAGGCAAGGCACCUCCUUUCUGGAAGACCGGAUCCAUGCCGAUGGACUUUGGAGUCAGACAACUGGAGCACGAGUGUUGUCUCUGCCUGGGUGGCUUCGAAGCGGCAUCUGAUCUCUCCGAGCCUCAGUUUCCCCCUCUGAGUCAUGGGAACGGUAACGUGACGGCUGAGAGGCUCCAGUGAGUCAGCAACGAAGCCCUUAGCACACUUACCUGGCACCCAUACGUCACACUCAUCCAUCGGGAGGGAGACAAAUCUGGGUCUAUUUUCCACUCUGCCGGUUUCUGGCCUCUGAGCCUGGUCUGUAAGGUGGGGAUGGACCCUGUCCUUCCCCGAGUAGGACGCCCUGAGUCAGGUGCGGAAAGCCCCGGCCAAGCCUGGCACACCAGAAGCUCGAUAGCCGGGUGGUGUCAUUACGGCCACUGCCUUGAGGGGCUGAGCCGGCCAAGUCAUCUGAGGAACAGGUGAGCAGGGAGCUGUAGGGCAGGCGUGUCUCACCCCCAUGGGGCCCUGGUCUUGGGCUGACCAACGAAGGGAAGUCCCAGGGCUGGGAAACCGUGGCGUCCUCCUGUAGAAGCUCCCUGAUUCUGGGAUACACCACAGAGGUGGGGAGGAGGGAGGAGGAAGCCCCCUGCCUUGCUCAUUCAGUGGGCAAGAAGGGAGGGAGAAUGUACAAGAAAAAAAAAAAAGUCGGCCUCCCUCGUCAGACUUGAGCAGACCUCCUCCAUCAGACUGGGAGGUCCCUGGGGUGGGGAUAGGUUCCCCGUCAGUGUAGGAGUUCCUUGUGCCUUUGAGUUGCGUUCUCCCUCCUCCAUCAGAUCAGGAUCUCCCUCAGAAGGGGGCAUGUGUCACUUGUCCACGGAUUAGAUUAUCUCUAAGAGUGAGUGAUGCCUCCCCUAUCAGACUGGGAAUUUUCCCCGGGUGUGUGGGGGGGUGUCUGGGGCAUGCCUCUCUGGGGACUGGGAGGUCGCUCGAGAUGAGGCGACAUGUUCCCCUCGUCUGUCUAAGGACAUCGGUUCUCAAUUGAGGGGGGCAAUUUUGCCCCCUUCGGGGGACAUCCGGAUGAGUAUUAGACUAGAGCUUCCCGAAGAUGGUGGGCAUGCCUCCGCCAUCGUUCUAAAGUUCCCUGAGCGUGAGUCUGGGUCCUGCCUCCUCCAUCGGACUGUCGCGCUGAGUUGUGGAGCUUGAAUUGGCCGUUGUAUGGGGAGCCCUGUGAGGGUGAGAUUAAUCUUAUCCCCAGCAUUAAAUGAGAAGUAUGGAUUACUCAGGAGGGAGCUGUUGCCUGUCUCCUCCAUCAGAUUAGUGCUUGCUUCCAGAGCCCUGAGUCGGGGAAGUCUCUCUCUCUCCAGUCAACCCUCAACCCAGCCACUCCCUGAGACGGGACAAGCCUCCCCCAGUUGGAGUCCCCACCACUUUGCAAACGCACUCCCCAGGGCACAGCCCAGAACCCAUCCCGGAGGAAGGGACAACACCUUCCCUGGAGAGCCAGCCUUUUUUCCUGGAAGUUGGCAUGUCCCCAGCCCGAGGCCACAACCACUGCUGCGGCCACCAGGGCCUAAAAAUACAGAUGUAAAAGUUCCCUGGGCUCCUGGGAACGCCGAGGUCACACCAGGCUCUUCCUCAUUUGAGCCAGAGCCACAGCGAACUGUCCUCUCCUGUGCCCCAACUAUCUAUCGUCCCAGCGGGAGCCACCCCUGCCCUCCAGCCCCCUUCCCAGGAGAGUGAGGGCCGGGGCGGGGGGUCUCCACCACCAGACUUUGUGGAGUCGGGUCGCCAGCUGGAAGCAACGCCUGGCACCGCUUCUCGGCUCUGCAACUCUGGGCAGGCCGUUUGCGCAUCUGGAAGGCGUGAGGCCGCACCCGUGGAUUGCCUGGCUCUGGGCUGGCUGGUGACAGAUGGGGUAAACUGGGGCAGGCGGGGGGCGCUCCUCCAGUCAUGCCUUGCAGGAGCUGCGGGUGGGGGUGGCUGUCGGCUUGUGGCGGCUCCUUUGGCCAUUACCCAUCUCUGAACUUGUCACUUUGGCCUCCUGUGGUUACGUGGCGUCACAGUGCGUUGGCUCACUUCUGGGAAAAUCAAAUCGUAUUGUGUGUUUCAGAUCCCAAUUCUCCUCCUGCGGGUUCCCUCUGCCGCCCUCCUGCCUUCGGGCCCAGGAAUGUUGCCCCCUGGAGACCCAAGUCAUCUGAGGAGCAGAACGGGGCCGAACGGUGGAAUUCAAAAAAUACGUAUUUUCACAUUAUGAAACAUAAUGUGGAGAAUUACAUACAAGACAAUGUUCCAUUUUACGACCUGUUGUAAAGAGAACAGUAAUAGUUUUGCCAGUUCAUCAGAAGCCCCUUGGUGCCUCUUCCAAAUCACAACACUUUUCCUCCUUUCAGGUAACCCCUGUUUCUUUUAUGUGUUUAUUGCCUUCUUUUAUACAUUUUUUUUAUUUUGUAAAUUGUAUUUAUUAAACAAUUGUUUAAUGUU